Molecule: long non-coding RNA, 1738 nt
Organism: Aedes albopictus (Asian tiger mosquito)
Lineage: Eukaryota; Metazoa; Arthropoda; Insecta; Diptera; Culicidae
Exons: 2
Source: RefSeq, a predicted model, not a curated record
UGAAGAUGUUUAUCAGGAUAGAGAAUGUUAAUAUGAGUUGAGCCCAAUGGGUGCAUUUCUAUCCAUGUCCCCCUAAUUGGUCGAUUAGCCACCGCUAUACGGCUUGCAGUCUAAGUACGAGUGUGAAAUGAUUAAUUAGAUCGACUACUGAUGAGCACUUAGGCGGUGCGAUGUCCGACCGUUGUUGUCGCGUCGCUGCAAUAACCUGGCUGGCUGGACAACUGCGAGAUGCAGCGCACUGUCGCCACUCGCAUCGGAUGAUAGACGAGGAACGUGACAGAGUUGGUAGUCGUGAUAUGGAAAGAGCUAAUUUCUGAUUAUCGUGUCAAACAAAUAGACGUCUGCCCUUAUUAUCCAUAUUAGGGAGCAUUCAUUGAGCACGUAAGCACUUCAUGCGGCGAGAGUUUCUUGUGAUCAAAUUGUACUAUAGUAACAAUUGCAUACCAUAGAAAUGGGGGGAAAUAUUUAACAGUCACGAUAAAUGGGCUUCGUCUGGAUAUGUUUCUAGCAUUGGCAAUUACAUUUCAUCACAUCGUUCUGAGGAGCGCGGGUUCAAUUCCAGCCGUAACUGUUAGGAAAAGUUUUCGGCUGUGCCACUGGGUGUUGCAGGCUAGACUGUUGAGCCUCCUUUAAAGAGCGAAUAGCUCACUGGAAGCAUUGAACGGGUCUGUGUCUUUUUUUUUUAAUUUCGAACUAAUUCACGUGAAAACUUGUGAACAGGGAGAUAUAAAGCCUGUAUCCGCAAUAAUCGGGACACAGAAAUACAGCUGUUACUCUGCAAUAGAUACAUUAAAAUUGUUCAAAUUUUGUCUAAUAACUUCUUAGGAUGUGUUCAUUUUACCUACAAAAUUUCAUGUGAAUCGGUGCAGUACUUUUUGUUGUAGCAACGAAAGAGUAAAAUGUGCGCCAUUGAAUUUUGUACAGCCCCUAGUUUUGCUUGUCAGCGCUGUAACUUUUGAAUUUGGCAAAGGAAAUGGCUGAAAUUUUGAAUACAAACCUCGCAAUCUACAUUUGUUGCAUAGGCAAAAUUUCAAAAAAAUCGAUACCCUAUCAACAAUUUUAUAGUCGAAACAUGUAUUGGGAAUGAACGUGAUUUUAGCCUCCCAGACACCAAUUAGUCAGCACCCUUUAUUGUUUCGAUUGUACUAUUGAAAGUACUAUACCAAUAAUCAUCAAUUUUUUUGCAGGCAUAAUAUACACUUAAUCAACUAGCUUCUGUGAAAAUUUCAUGAAAAUUGGCAGAGAAAUUCAAAAGUUAUGAAUAGGUAAAAAUCGCAUAUGAAAAACACGAAAAAUUUUCACUAACAUGUUAGUGCACUCACCCCUAUUAACACCAGCAGCUUUCGAACCAAUUGAUCAAAGUUGAUGAAAUUUUGCUAGAAAGUGUCUCUUUAAGUAUCAAAACUGCUAACGAAAUUUCAUAAUUAUCAUCACAGAACUUUGAACUGUAGCGUAACAGAACCAUCUACUAUGCGAAUGAAAAUUGGCCAUGAUUGUACAAAAUGCUUAAAACCACGUCUGUUUGUUUUCAAAAUAAAAUUAACCAGUCACUCUUGACUGGAAAGUUAUGUAACUGUUCGAAACAUGAUAUAGUUAAAAAAAGUUCAUUUUAUGAUGAAAUAUUCAUUUAUUGUGAUAGAAAUCACUUAUUUCAAAUGAAAUUGCUUACCUUUAGGCAUUUAAGGGGAAAUUUUAUUUUGCAUUUUAACCCUCAAGCGAUCCCGCUGUUGUAUUUUGU